RNAcentral lists this long non-coding RNA (319 nucleotides) under Ananas comosus (pineapple). RNAcentral's name for it is "long non-coding RNA (ACOM_LNC044671)". Lineage: Eukaryota; Viridiplantae; Streptophyta; Magnoliopsida; Poales; Bromeliaceae. The record is from RNAcentral.
CAUCGAGUCUAGUGUAGUAAACAUGAUAUGGUUCUUGGGAUAGUAGAGGUCCCGACAUCUAUGAUGCAUUGUAUAUUGUGCAGCAGAGGCACAUUGACCCUUGUAGGUAGGGUAUCCUCUUGUGGGAAUUGGAUCAUAUUCACUAGUCUGUUUUGCUUGUCGGUGGUCGCUCCACCGAGGCACGAGUCUCCGGAGUACUUCACUAGGGGCAGACGUAGUUGUCCCGCAGACGGUCUCGGUGUGCGAGUGCAGCUUCUCCUCACCUAUGAGAUUGAGAGUGAGUCGAGGGUUUAACCUACGGGUUAGCCAAGUAGAUUGG